This 3175-nucleotide long non-coding RNA is filed under the name Sus scrofa (pig). Its description in RNAcentral is "lncRNA (ENSSSCG00030054772.1)". The record is from RNAcentral. Lineage: Eukaryota; Metazoa; Chordata; Mammalia; Artiodactyla; Suidae.
GGCUGCACCUGUGGCAUAUGGAAGUUCCCAGACUAGGGGUCAAAUUGAAGCAGCAGCUGCUGGCCUAUACUGCAGCCACAGCAAUGCUGGAUCCAAGUCAUAUCACUGACCUACGCCAUAGCUUGUGACAAUGCUGGCCCCACUGAGUGGGGCCAGGGAUUGAACCUGCAUCUUCAUGGAUACUAGUUGAGUUCUUAACUCACUGAUCCACAAUGAGAACUCCAAUCAAUUUUUUAAAUGUCGAAGGAAGAAGAAAUUUUCAUGUUGUACCUCUGCUGAACCGCAAAAGUGAUAUUACGAAAUUAUGAAAAGUGAUUCUAAUUCAUUAUUAUUGUUAUUAUUAUUAUUAUUAUUAUUAUUACCACCCUUCCAGCUGUAACCUGCCAUAUGAUUCCUAGGUACUCAUAUAACUAUUUUCACACACAGUUGCAUAAUAUAUAUGCCUACCCCUUUGAGUUUACAUGACACCUUUGAGUUGUAUGCACAACUACAUAAAACAAAUUUUGCUCCAUCCAUCCCAUGCUUGUAGAAUAUCUUAUAUCAAAAAAACCCAAACCUAAAACUAUGCUCUCAUGAAUACAUAAUCAGAUUCAAAUAAUACAGAAUUAUAAUAUUUAAAAAAUAAUACAUAGAAACCAUAUGCAUUUCAAAUAAUUAGUUUCAAAAUAUUAAUAUCAGUUAUUUACCUAAGGCAUUCCUUUAUGAGGGGGUAGUCUAUUUUGUUUUAACUAAAUUAGGUCAGAAAUAAUUACACUCUUUAUAGUACUUCACAAAGUUUGUACAUUAUAGAAUUUACUUGGGUGAAAUUAAAUUUUUAAACAGUAAUUCCCCAAUAAACUCUCAGGAGACAGAAUGAGAUUAGUAUGAAAUGGCUGAAACUCCAACUCAUGAACUUAUUUACAAAAUAGGAAAAGACUCACAGACUUCAAAAACAAACUCAUGGUUACCAAAGGGGAAAGGUGGGGGGAGGGAUGGAUUGAGAGGUUGGCACUGGCACAUGCACACUGUGGUCUAUAGAAUGACUGGCCAAUGCGGACCUGCUGUAUAGCACAGGGAACUCUACUCAUUCUGUGAUAACCUAUAUGGGAAAAGAAUUUGCAAAAGAAUGGAUGUGUAUAUGUAUAAUCAAAUCACCUUGUAUGGAAGAAAUUAUUCCAACAUUAUAAAGCAACUAUACUUCAAUAAAUUUUAAAAAUGAAAAAAAUGAAUAUAAGUUAUAUAGUUACAUAGUAUAUAUAAACUAUAUUUACUAUAUAGUUAUUCUAUGUACCACCCAUUAGAAUUCCAUCUCCAAGAUCUCAGGGUCCUCGUCUAGUUCACUUUUGAUCAAUUCCAUGUAAAAACACAGCUACAGUCAGGGUUUUCUUGUCCUAGUCACAAGCAUGGAAAUUCAAGUCUAUUACUCACUGGUCUCCUUCUUAAAUAUCUAUUUCCUCCAACUCAAUGCAAGUUGAGUGUUAAGGUUAAUGUCUCUUAACCACCCCACUUCCGACUUCAGGUUUUUGGCUUUUUUGCUUAUCUUUUCCUUUUUUAAACAUCCUUUUAAAGUUCCAUCUUAUAAGAAUAAAUCUAUCCUGUAAAAUGCAAGAACAGUUUCUUUGGAAAAUAUAAAUUGUUUCCAUUCAUUUCUGCACAUUGAUACAUCUUGGCCUGACUUUAUCUCCCUUAUGAGAAUUUACUUUUAAAAAGCAAGAAGACAAUAGCAAAUUCCAACAUUUUGAAUUUUUCCUAACAUUUGCCUCAGUGUUCUAGAUUUGUUUGCUAGUGGAUAUGGUAAAACUCACAAGUGUUUACCAAUAUUUGUGGUUUCUUUUCUUUCCAGUUUAUUUAAAAUGAUUGCAUAUCCCACUUCCAGAAGUUAAACAUAGUCAUGUGAGUCUCCAUUUUUAAUGGAAAUUAAGUGGGUUUGAUGUAAGUAACCUAUGGGUAAAAGAGCCAUUGAAUAAUGUUCACUUCUCCUUUCUUACAUUGAGAUGGAAUUACCUUCAAAUUUAUGUAGUAUGAAACGUGCAUAAAAGCUGCUUAGAACUUUGCUAAUGUAAUAAAUGUUUAUUGUGUUACAAAAAAACUGAUGAUCAUAAUGUUGUCAUCAUUUUAUUUUGCUACAGCAAGUGUAAAAAUAUAACCAUAAAAACAAAAAAAGAACAAUGUGACAGAGAAAAAUUACCAUUUUCUCUUUACUUGAGCUCUUAAAAAAAUAAAUUUGAAUAACAUAUUAUAGAAAGACCAUGAUCCUGAAAAAAAGACACUCUUUCAUAAAAAAGGUAAGUUUGUAAAAAUGCAAUACUUGUUAGUUCACAUAUACCUACAUGGUAUGGUUCUCCACAUAUACAUGUAAGUACAUAAGUAUAUAUAUUUCUCCCCCCUUCUAUAUCAGAAGUCAUGAAAUAGCAUUUUUCCAUUGAUUGGCAUUAAGGGAUAAUUAGAGAAAUGAACAGAUUUCAAGAUUUCACGUCAAAUAAGCUGUGUUUUCCUCGGCAAUUUUCCAUUUUUAUCUUCAACUUCUUUAAUGGGGGAAUUAUAAUAAUUGCCUCAACAUAUUUUGAGAGUUAAGUAGAAAAUAAGAACAGAGGGCACCUAAUUAAAUUUAAUUUUCAAACAAGAAACAAAUCUUAAGUAUAAGUACUUUUUCCCAUCAUUUUUUAACUGAAAUUCAAAUUUAACUAGGCUUCCUGUAUUCUACCUGGUGAACCUGGAGUGCCAAUACAGAGUGCCAAUUCAUGCCAAAAGGUUUUUCACCAGGACAUGAAACAUGAGUAUUCAGUUAAGAAGUAGGAUAUCUGGGCGUGACUAUCUGGGUGCAAAUCUCAACGUCUUGUCCAAAUAACCAGAUCUCAGUAAGUUUCGGUUUGCUUAUAUGUCAAAUGCCAUAAUAUCUGUACCUUCUUCAAAUGGUGACUGUUAAGUUGGAUUAACAAAAUAUGCCUUAGGGAGUUCCCUUCAUGGCUCAGCGGUUAACAAACGCAACUAGGAUCCAUGAGGAUGUGGGUUUGAUCCCUGGCCUCACUCAGUGAGUUAAGGAUCUGGCAUUGCCGUGAACUAUGGUGCAGACUGCAGAUGUGGCUGAGAUCCUGGGUUGCUGUGGCUGUGGUGUAGGCUACAGCUCUGAUUUUAUCCCUAGCCUAGGAACUUCCACAUGCUGCAAGUGUGGCCCUAAAAAGCAAAAAAAAAAAAA